GGUUAAACAAAGCAAUUAGCGGUGUGUUGAGGCAGACGCUCUCUGAUUAGGACUCCGCCACCUCUCCGCCCGCCAGGUUACCCUCGCGGCGGAGGAAUACAGAUGUGAAGUAGUGCCUUGGACAAUGCGCUGCUCGGGAAAACGAGUUCUAAAUUUUAUAGGUUAUUACUAGUAUACUGAAAUCUAUCUUUAUUCAAAUAUGCAAACUUAUAGUAAAACAUCCGCGCCUAAAGCCGGAGAUAAUCCAUUUGAUAUGUUGUGUUCAGGUGAAGUCAAGGUCAGUGUGAGGCUUGAAGGGGAUAGUUUGGGGGGCAGUGGUUUGAAGCACAGUGGGUUGUGCACACACAAGUUGCUUGGUGGGUCGUCGGGAGUCGUGCCCUGCAACAGCAUCGCCUCCCUUGGCCCCCAGAGGGGAAAACAGCGGAAAGUCGUUUAGCCAACAGAGCUGCAGGACAAAGGGGGACACAAAACCGUAUAGUGGUGAUCGAGAGGCAAAGUUGGCGCGGUGCUCGAGUGUUGUGAAGCUUUUAACUGCCGACGGGCGGGAAGGGCUUGCUCACACCGGACGCGGACGCAGGGUCAGGGACGCUCUCGUGAUGGCACUGUUGUUCCCCAGGGAUCCCCGUGACCUUAGGAGGAUGAAGGACGUGCCGCGGGACCACGUACACGACCCGAGGCGCCUUGAGGCAGGUCACGGACGCGGCCAUGACCACGGCUUUAUGGACUGUUGUGUUGUCGGGCCUGCGGCGGCGACAGGGACGGGAGACAGCAGGCGGCGAUGCUUCCGAAGAUGGAGUCGCUGCGUUUUGGAAUUGAGAACGGGAACUGUGAAGCGUGAAGAGGGAACUUUGAAGUGGCUUGUGUGUCCCGCGGCGAACCUGACCUAGCCUCGGUGCUCCUCCCUUACUCCUCCUCCUGCUUCGCCUCCUCCAUCUCUUCGGGAAGGCAAGUGAUAUGCGUAGCUGAAUGGCUCUCUUUGAUGGUCACGGGAAGUAAGGAACCUCCCCUUCCCUCCUGGUCCAGUAUACUUCGUUCAUGACCGCUGCCCUGUUCAUCGGGCUCGUAUUGUGCAGGAGUUGUUCCAGGACCACCCUCAGUUCCAAUUCCUGCAUGCCAUGGCCUAGUAAGGAGGCAGAUUGCAGCCCCCUUGAAAAUAUCUGGGGUUCGAUGGUAAACACGUGGGAGCCUCAGCAAGAGCGCACAUCUCCGGAACUUUAGCCUCACGCUCGUGAGGUUUGGAAGGUAUUCCGGGGUAAGCCAGACCUUGUUAGACGCCACACGGAAAACAUGAGACGACGACUUCAAGCUGUCAUUGACAAAGGUGGUGGGUGGACAGGAUAUUGAGGUUAUGAGUCUGUAUGCAGCCUUCCCCUUAGACAGUUUGUCAUGGACGUCUAUAACAAAUAAAAGCUGAUUUGGUUUAAACCGUAUUUUUAUACAUCCUAAUUGUUGUGUAUAUGCUCCGAUUGGCUAACUGCCGGGACAUAACUGUUCUACCAUUAUUAUUUACUGCAAGACCAUAAUGUGAAGAAAUGUUUUUGGGAAAAAAUAAGUUCCUUAAUAUGAUGAACCUAACCACCGGCAUCGUGUAAUAUUGAGGCAAACACAACAUACAAAUAUAGUAACAUAGGCCUAGGUUAUUAAUGGUAAUCCAUCUAUAUUUUACAUAGGUGCCAUACAUAUACCACUGUGAACCACACGGAACACAAAUAGUAAUAAUAAUAACAACAACGAAUAGCAUAAAUCCUUAUUUUUUAAGUUUUUCGCAUCGUUUACGGU
Molecule: long non-coding RNA, 1779 nt
Organism: Eriocheir sinensis (Chinese mitten crab)
Lineage: Eukaryota; Metazoa; Arthropoda; Malacostraca; Decapoda; Varunidae
Exons: 4
Source: RefSeq, a predicted model, not a curated record